GACGGAGGGGGCUAGCGUUGUUCGGAAUGACUGGGCGUAAAGGGCGCGUAGGCGGCGUAUCAAGUCAGGCGUGAAAGCCUCGGGCUUAACCCGAGAACUGCGCUUGAGACUGGUAUGCUAGAGGACGAGAGAGGAAAGCGGAAUUCCGAGUGUAGAGGUGAAAUUCGUAGAUAUUCGGAGGAACAUCAGAGGCGAAGGCGGCUUUCUGGCUCGUAUCUGACGCUGAGGCGCGAAAGCGUGGGGAGCAAAC
RNAcentral lists this ribosomal RNA (250 nucleotides) under uncultured bacterium. Its description in RNAcentral is "partial 16S ribosomal RNA". It matches the Rfam family "Bacterial small subunit ribosomal RNA", at positions 524 to 773 of the family's 1533-position model. The record is from RNAcentral.